GUCGUAACAAGGUUUCCGUAGGUGAACCUGCGGAAGGAUCAUUACCACACCUAAAAAAACUUUCCACGUGAACUGUCGUUAUUUGUUGUGUGUGUGCGUGUUGGUAGCAUGCGUGUUUGCUUACGCUUUGGUGUUUGCGAGUGUGUGUGUUGUCGGUGCGCAGACUGAACGAAGGUCGUGUGUUGCUGUGUGCCUGCUGCACUGCUGACUUUGCAUUGAUUUGCAUGGUGUUGGCGGAGCGGCGGGUGCUGUUGCGUGCGCGGCUGACCUAUUUUUUUCAAACCCCAUACCUAAAUGACUGAUUAUACUGUGAGAACGAAAGUUCUUGCUUUGAACUAGAUAACAACUUUCAGCAGUGGAUGUCUAGGCUC
RNAcentral lists this unclassified non-coding RNA (371 nucleotides) under fungal sp. RNAcentral's name for it is "partial internal transcribed spacer region". The stretch from base 1 to 44 matches the Rfam family "Eukaryotic small subunit ribosomal RNA", at positions 1788 to 1831 of the family's 1831-position model. The record is from RNAcentral. Lineage: Eukaryota; Fungi.